UCUUUCUAUUUUCUUUCAUAUUGUUAUCACUACACAAUUUGUGUUUACUUUUUUCAGAUCAACAUCCAUGGCAUCUUCUUCUUCUUACGCGAGUGAUCCAAAAUACUAUCCUCGAUGGAAGUACAAUGUAUUUCUAAGUUUUAGAGGUGUUGACACACGGAGAACAUUUACGGGUCACUUGUAUGAAGGUUUGAAAAAAGGGGAAUAUUCACCUUUCAAGAUGAUAAAAGGCUAGAGAAUGGCGAUUCCAUCUCAAAAGAACUCUUGAAAGCUAUAGAAGAGUCUCAAGUUGCCAUAAUCGUUUUCUCAAAGAAUUAUGCUACAUCACUAAAAAAAAGCUAGAGCUUCGCUCGGUUGGCCUUCCUACGCUGACGAAUGCCUCUUUUCUCUUCUUUGAAGUCUACAACAAACAAGUGGGAGACAGGAUUCGAACCUACGUAGAAAAACUUCAACAGAUUUACAGUCUGCCGCUUUUGACCACUCGGCCACUCUCCCCUCUCGGGUGCUUGAAUGAACUAAUGAAGAUUAUGGAAUGCAAGGAGGAAGAAAAUGGACAAAUGGUCAUUCCGGUCUUCUAUGACGUGGAUCGAUCACAUGUUCGAUACCAAAGUGAGAGCUUUGAAGAAGCAUUGCCAAACACGAAUUGAGGUAUAAGGAUGAUGCUGAAAUGAUGCAGAAGGUGCAAGGAUGGAGAACUGCCCUAACUGUUGUCUGAAAUCUAAAAGGAUAUGAUAUCCGUGACAGGAUUGAAUCAGAAUGUAUUCGGGAACUUGUUGACGAUGUUUCUUCAAAAUUAUGCAAGACUUCUUCAUCUUAUUUGCACGAUAUUGUGGGAAUAGAUACUCUUUUGGAGAAAGUAACAUCCCUUCUAGAGAUGGAAACUAAUGAUGUUCUGAUGGUGGGGAUCUGGGGAAUGGGAGGAGUCGGUAAAACGACUAUAGCAAGAGCUAUUUUUGAUAGACUCUCACCUCAAUUUCAGGGUGCAAGUUUCCUUGCAGAUGUAAAAGAAACUAACACAAAUGAAAUCCAUUCUCUGCAAAAUACCCUUCUCUCUGAGCUGUUAAGGAAAGACAAAAAAUGUGAAUAAUAAGAAGGACAGCAAGGCUAUGAUAGCUCAUAGACUUCGUUUUAUGAGGUUUUAGUUGUGCUUGAUGACAUUAAUCAUCAUGAUCAUUGGGAGUAUUUAGCAGGGGAUCUUUGUUGGUUUGACAAUGGCAGUAGAAUUAUUGCAACAACUAGAAACAAACAAAUUAUAGGGAAGAAUAAUGUAGUGUAUGAAGUGACUACACUUCGUGAUGCUAUUCGGUUGUUCAGUCAAUAUGCUUUCAAGGACAAAGCUCCAGAUGAGCAUAUUAAGAAGCUGGCAUUGGAGGUAGUAAGUCAAGCUAAAGGCCUUCCGUUAGCAUUGAGAUUGUGGGGUAUUUUGUUACAUAAUGAAGAUGCAACUAUGUGGAGAGAUGUUGUAGAUAUGAUAAAGAGAGAAUCUAGUCCAUACAUUGUUAAAACCCUCAAAAUAAGUUUUGAAGGGUUGCCGGAUAAAGAGAACCAUAUUUCUAGAUAUCGCAUGCUUCAAUUUAGAGGAAGGGGGAAAUAUAAGACCAUAAAAAUUCUUGAGAGCUAUGAUUUAGGCGCUCGCAUCAGAUUGCAUGGUCUAAUUGAAAAAUCUCUUGUGUUCAUCUCUAAAUAUAAUACAAUUCAAAUGCAUGACUUAGUUCAAGACAUGGGUAGAUAUGUGGCGAAAAUGCAAAAAGAUUCCGGAAAACCUAGCAGACUAUGGAACAUUGAAGAUUUUGAAGAUGUGGUCAGCAAUACUGACAUGUGAAGUUACAAUUUGUGGUUUUUAGCAAGGGACCUGUCAGUGGAAGCAAUAUGGUGUAGUUAUAUUUAAAAACUAUGAUUUAGCAAAGAGGCAAUGAAAAUUAUGAAAAAGCUUAGGAUAUUAUGCAUAUGUGAUGGGAACGAAUUUUGUGGAAUAACCUCCUCCUCCUCGUCUAACUCCAAUUGCCAUGACGGCUCCAUUGAGUACAUGUACAACGACUUGUGUUGGUUUAUCUGGCAUGAAUAUCUUUGGAAGUUAUUACCAAAAAAAUUUAAACCCAGAAGGCUUGUUCAUCUUAAUCUCCGGUGGAAUUCGUUGCAUCAUUUAUGGAAUGAAACAAAGCAACUGCCGUGUCUACGGAGUCUAGGUCUAUGGGGCUCCAAAAGCCUGAAGAUAACACCUGAUUUCAGGGGAUGCCAAAUUUGGAUCUAAGAGAAUGUACGAGUCUUGAAGAGGUUCACCAUUCCCUGGAGUAUUGCGGAAAACUCAUCCAGUUAAUUAAAUUUGAAUGAGUGUAUAAGCCUUAAGAGGUUUCCAUAUGUUAAUGCAGAAUCGCUGAAUCUAAACUCAUGCAUCCUAUAGAGAUUACAUUGUCAUUCUCUGGGAUAAGGGACCUGUCAUCAUUAUCGGUCAUUCAUCUCCAAACUCAUGCAUCCUAUAGAGCUAGAUUUGAGUGGCAUGAAUAACAUUGUAUCUCUUCCAAGUAGCAUUUGUAAGUUGAAAGGUUUGGUGAACCUAUAUGUGUGGAACUGCGCAAAACAUGAAAGCUUGCCAGAAGAGAUAGGUGAUUUAGAAAAUUUGGAAGAGCUUGAUGCCAAAGAUACUCUAAUCUCAUGACCUCCGUCUUCCAUCGUCCGGUUGAACAAACUUAAAAAUAUUGACUUUUGAAAAGGAAGAAUCAGAAGAUGGAGUGUUCUUUGUGUUCCCUCAGGUGAAUGAAGGGUUACGUUCAUUGGAAUAUCUGGAUCUCAGUUACUGCAAUUUAAUAGAUGGAGGACUUCUGGAAGAUAUUGGAUCCUUAUCCUCCCUCUUUGAAAGAGUUGUAUCUCAAGGGAAAUACUUUUGAGCAUUUGCCUCUAAGCUUAACUCAGCUUGGUUCUCUUCUU
This is a long non-coding RNA of Solanum tuberosum (potato), 2925 nucleotides long. RefSeq lists it as uncharacterized. Lineage: Eukaryota; Viridiplantae; Streptophyta; Magnoliopsida; Solanales; Solanaceae. The record is from RefSeq and is a predicted model, not a curated record. The transcript has 4 exons.